CUAUAGUUCAGCGGUAGAGCGCCAGAUUGUGGAUCUGGUUGUCGAGGGUUCGAUCCCCUCUAG
Molecule: transfer RNA, 63 nt
Filed under: uncultured Treponema sp.
Lineage: Bacteria; Pseudomonadati; Spirochaetota; Spirochaetia; Treponematales; Treponemataceae
Rfam family: tRNA
About the family: Transfer RNA (tRNA) molecules are approximately 80 nucleotides in length. Their secondary structure includes four short double-helical elements and three loops (D, anti-codon, and T loops).
Source: RNAcentral